This is a long non-coding RNA of Parambassis ranga (Indian glassy fish), 792 nucleotides long. The record is from Ensembl. Lineage: Eukaryota; Metazoa; Chordata; Actinopteri; Ambassidae.
CUCGGCUCAGACUGAGAAAGCUCAAACAGCAGCGAGGCGGAGAACGACUGCUCCAGUCCUUCGGCCUGCAGUGAAAAACGUGGACCCAAACAGACGCCGUUUUACCUCUGGAGGUGCAGAUGGUCUCUGAAUCUGCAGGUAGGCCUGACUGGGAGACGUGUAGCUGCUGAAGAGCUGCAGAGUGUUUUGUCCGUCCUUAAAGGAAGCCUGAACACAAAACAACAGUUUAUCUCAUGGUGUUAAACAAUAUGACACACUAAUGUAUAUGUCAGAUUUAUGGAUUGAUACCGAGACUCAUCAUCUGUACUAAUUUACACAGUAAAUAGAAACAUUUUCACAAAACAUAUUUUAGUCAGAAGUAUGUUUUGUAACUUACGUCAAUGAUGAGCACUUGCGUGUCAUUCCUGAUUUCAACAUGGAGUGGUAUGACGCCAUCUGCAGGGAGGGGAAACUUCAUUUCUGUGGGAGGCAUCUCUUCUGGAAGUGGAUGCAUGGUAGAAGACUCGAAAACAUUCAGUCUGUCAGCCGCCAUGUUUUCCCCCAUGCUUGUUAUCAAACCCCACGGCGUUCGCUUCUGCUGGAUCACCGACACUUCAACAAGCUGAUCGUCGAGCGUCAGCGGCUGGUUGUUGUUUGCCGUACGUGUACCUGAAGACAGAAACCAUGGAUAAUGUUUCCAUAUGUAUCCACAGACAGGACAAAGAGGAGGAGUGAAGGUCUCACUUUGCGGUGACGGAGCCCUGCAGCGUGUCCUCAUGGUAAAACACCUCUGGAGCUCUGAUCUCAACCUCG